Molecule: non-coding RNA, 86 nt
Organism: Nematostella vectensis (starlet sea anemone)
Lineage: Eukaryota; Metazoa; Cnidaria; Anthozoa; Actiniaria; Edwardsiidae
Source: Rfam
CCUUCAAUAGCUCAUUUGGUAGAGCGGGGGGCUGUAGAAUUGUAAUUGUGAUCCCUAAUUCGCUGGUUCGAAUCCGGCUCGAAGGA